CCUACGGGUGGCUGCAGUGGGGGAUAUUGCACAAUGGGGGAAACCCUGAUGCAGCGACGCCGCGUGUGGGAAGACGGUCUUCUGGAUUGUAAACCACUGUCCCCAGGGACGAAAAUGACGGUACCUGGGGAGGAAGCUCCGGCUAACUACGUGCCAGCAGCCGCGGUAAUACGUAGGGAGCAAGCGUUGUCCGGAAUUACUGGGUGUAAAGGGAGGGUAGGCGGGGAUGCAAGUUGGGUGUCAAAACUACCGGCUCAACCGAUAGUCGCACUCAAAACUGCAGCUCUUGAGUGAAGUAGAGGCAGGCGGAAUUCCUAGUGUAGCGGUGAAAUGCGUAGAUAUUAGGAGGAACACCAGUGGCGAAGGCGGCCUGCUGGGCUUUUACUGACGCUGAGGCUCGAAAGUGUGGGGAGCAAACAGGAUUAGAUACCCUUGUAGUC
Molecule: ribosomal RNA, 440 nt
Filed under: uncultured bacterium
Lineage: Bacteria
Description: partial 16S ribosomal RNA
Rfam family: Bacterial small subunit ribosomal RNA
Source: RNAcentral